Molecule: long non-coding RNA, 444 nt
Organism: Stegostoma tigrinum
Lineage: Eukaryota; Metazoa; Chordata; Chondrichthyes; Orectolobiformes; Stegostomatidae
Exons: 3
Source: RefSeq, a predicted model, not a curated record
CUGAGUGCUAGAAGCCAGCUAGCUUGCAGGACAACAAAUGGAAGACCCUCUAUCACCUUAGAGCUGGAAGGUAGUUUAACAAAAGGAACCAGGACAAAGAGUCAGCCUGCAAAACCGAGAACCUUAAAAAAUCAACUGUCAACAUCAACGCCACUGUCCACUGUGUCAAAGUGAUGACCACAUGAAACUUGCAACCAUACCAGACAAUGAAGAGGAUUGUCAUAGACAUCAAGACAAUGUGCACAUGUCGCUGGAAUGGGUACACCCCAGAGCAGACCGACUGCAAUGCAGCAAAGUGUGAGGUACCAAGUCCAGUUAUUAUGACCUCACCCUGUAACUCUGAUGAGACUGCACUGCGCCCUCAGCCCAUAGUCAGUUGAAGAGGGAACAGACCCUAUGGCUCUAAUAUUGAUUUACACACUGGGAGUGUAGCUUCUGCGUACC